GAUGAAGAACGUAGCGAAAUGCGAUAAGUAGUGUGAAUUGCAGAAUUCAGUGAAUCAUCGAAUCUUUGAACGCACAUUGCGCUCCUUGGUAUUCCGAGGAGCAUGCCUGUUUGAGUGUCAUUAAUAUAUCAACCUUCUCUUUUUUGAGUUGUUUGGAUGUGGGGGUUUGCUGGCCUCUUAAAUGAUUCAGCUCCCCUGAAAUGCAUUAGCAGAACAACCUGUUCAUUGGCGUGAUAAUUAUCUAUGCUAUUGAAUGUGAGGGCAGUUCAGCUUUCUAACCGUCCUUGGACAAUUCAUCAUUAAUGUGACCUCAAAUCAGGUAGGACUACCCGCUGAACUUAAGCAUAUCAAUAAGCGGAGGA
RNAcentral lists this unclassified non-coding RNA (362 nucleotides) under soil metagenome. Its description in RNAcentral is "partial contains 5.8S ribosomal RNA, internal transcribed spacer 2, and large subunit ribosomal RNA". The stretch from base 1 to 120 matches the Rfam family "5.8S ribosomal RNA", at positions 35 to 154 of the family's 154-position model. The record is from RNAcentral.